CACAUCUAAAUCCUGCAGGACACCAGCCCUCGAGGCCUGGAGUUCGCCACCUGUGGUGAAGAGGCUGACGUUGUUCACGUGUAAAAAAGUGUUUGUGAGGUCUAAACAUCUUUCUCCUCCUCAGUGAUAUCAUUGCCCUGUUUCUCUGUUUUUCUUUCCCGCCUCUUCACCCCACUCUCGGCUCAUCCUCCUCACCAGCAUGUAAGUAUGUUUCUGAGAUCUCCACAGAGACGAGCGGUCCUACAGAUCAGCCGUCUCGCUCUUUAAGUCGAUGGAGCUUCAGUCGGAGUGCCCGGAGCGGUACCGUCUUUGAUCUCCUGAAUUUAACUCUGUGUUUCUCUGACCUCCUCAUGCCGCUCGCCGCUCUCUGAAGGGGGGUUACACAGCUCUUCACCUGGCCUCCAUUCACGGACACCAGGACGUCGUUCAGACCCUGAUCAACUCUCAGAAUGCUAAAACCAACAUCAGAGAUUACCACGGGAAGACGGCCGUUCAGUACUGGAGCGGCAGCGCCGACAUCUUCGAGAAACCCGAGUCUCA
Long non-coding RNA from Pundamilia nyererei, 540 nucleotides. RefSeq lists it as uncharacterized. The record is from RefSeq and is a predicted model, not a curated record. NCBI's taxonomy places the organism in Eukaryota, Metazoa, Chordata, Actinopteri, Cichliformes, Cichlidae. The transcript has 3 exons.